AUUCCAUGAUGAGGGCACUUUUGUAAUAACUCUUUGUACCUUUACCAUGCCUUAUACAAGGACUAAUCAUCCAUUUGUUGGAAAAUAGUGAUCUCGUUCCUCAACUU
Molecule: non-coding RNA, 107 nt
Organism: Gossypium hirsutum (cotton)
Lineage: Eukaryota; Viridiplantae; Streptophyta; Magnoliopsida; Malvales; Malvaceae
Source: Rfam